Molecule: ribosomal RNA, 495 nt
Filed under: uncultured bacterium
Lineage: Bacteria
Description: partial 16S ribosomal RNA
Rfam family: Bacterial small subunit ribosomal RNA
Source: RNAcentral
GAUGAACGCUGGCGGCGUGCCUAAUACAUGCAAGUAGAACGCUGAAGGAGGAGCUUGCUCUUCUGGAUGAGUUGCGAACGGGUGAGUAACGCGUAGGUAACCUGCCUGGUAGCGGGGGAUAACUAUUGGAAACGAUAGCUAAUACCGCAUGACAACAGUUAUUGCAUGAUAACUGUUUAAAAGUGGCACCUGCUCCACUACCAGAUGGACCUGCGUUGUAUUAGCUAGUUGGUGAGGUAACGGCUCACCAAGGCGACGAUACAUAGCCGACCUGAGAGGGUGAUCGGCCACACUGGGACUGAGACACGGCCCAGACUCCUACGGGAGGCAGCAGUAGGGAAUCUUCGGCAAUGGACGGAAGGCUGACCGAGCAACGCCGCGGGAGUGAAGAAGGUUUUCGGAUCGUAAAGCUCUGUUGUAAGAGAAGAACGAGUGUGAGAGUGGAAAGUUCACACUGUGACGGUAGCUUAACAGAAAGGGACGGCUAACUACGUG